UGGGGAAUAUUGGACAAUGGGCGAAAGCCUGAUCCAGCCAUGCCGCGUGUGUGAAGAAGGCCUUCGGGUUGUAAAGCACUUUAGUUUGGGAAGAAGUGUGUGAUACGAAUAGUGUUAUGCAUUGACGGUACCAAAAGAAUAAGCACCGGCAAACUCCGUGCCAGCAGCCGCGGUAAUACGGAGGGUGCGAGCGUUAAUCGGAAUUACUGGGCGUAAAGGGCGCGUAGGCGGAUAGAUAAGUUGGUUGUGAAAUUUCUGGGCUUAACCUAGGAGCUGCAAUCAAUACUGUUUAUCUUGAGUAGGGUAGAGGGAGGUAGAAUUUCCGGUGUAGCGGUGAAAUGCGUAGAUAUCGGAAAGAAUACCGGUGGCGAAAGCGGCCUCCUGGACUCAUACUGACGCU
RNAcentral lists this ribosomal RNA (400 nucleotides) under uncultured bacterium. RNAcentral describes it as "bacterial SSU rRNA". It matches the Rfam family "Bacterial small subunit ribosomal RNA", at positions 355 to 747 of the family's 1533-position model. The record is from RNAcentral.